Molecule: long non-coding RNA, 1493 nt
Filed under: Androctonus crassicauda
Lineage: Eukaryota; Metazoa; Arthropoda; Arachnida; Scorpiones; Buthidae
Source: RNAcentral
CUAUUUUAAUUGCAAUUUCAUUCCAUUCCUUAUCUACACAUUCUCUGUUGUGAUAUUCUUUCCUCUUAUGUGAAGUUUUUAAAAAACCUAUAUUAUGGGACCAUAUUAAUGAUUGAAUAAAGGCCGCUAUUUUUUUUCGAAAAAUUUCGAACAACACGACCAAAAGGAAGCAGCGACCAAAUAGAAUUGGUAGUUGGUAGUUGCUUCCAACUCGAGAGUUCGACUCACGCUACUUACGGCCGUAUUCACGACAGCGAGUCAACCUUCAGAGUCCACCAACCCAACAUUUCAUACAACCUCGGGUCUGGCCGAGGGUUACUUGCUGUUCGAAUUCAGAUACAACUUCGAAUACCGGGUCAGUCAACCCUAGGGUCCAAUUGGUUGCUAUACUGUUGCGAACGAGAGUUUGACUUGUAUUUUGUGUCGAAUAUACUGAAUGGAUAAGGAUAGUCACAUGCUCUGUUAGUAAAACAUGGCUGUCGAAGAAAGCGUAAGAAAAAUUUUUUCAACUUUCGAAAAAGAAGUUUUAUUAGUGCUUGCCGGAAAACAUGUAGCAAUUAUUGAAAAUAAAAAAACAAAUGCUGUUUUUAAUAAAGAAAAACAAGAAGCAUGGAAAAAUAUAGGUAAAUAUAACUUUAAAUUGUAAGAAUCUCAAAAAACUUUACAGUCGUAGAUCGGUAUUACUUUGAUAUUACUUUUAGCAUUUAUUAGUUUUAACCGCCGAUAAGUCACUUUUUUAUUUAUUAUAGCUAUAGAAUUUAACGCAGUUCCGGGAGUAACGCCUAGAAACAGUAAGCAAUUGUGGGAUUGCUAUAAAAAUUUCAAAAAAAGCGCUACUAAAGAACGAGCACGUUCAAAAAUAGAACUAUAUAAAACAAGAGGAGGACUUCCUCCCACUAUAACCUCAACCAAUUCGUUUGUGGGUCGAUUGGCAUCAAUGGGAGCAAUUAGGGAACCCCUACAAAAUAAUGUUGAUAGUCAUUCACAGUAUUUGAAAGAAACAUCAAGAAAUUCUAGAAACAUCAAUAUGUAGGUCUACAUCUCCAGUUGUUGAUAUACCACCUCCUUUAGACGAAGAAAUUUCCAUUGUUUGUACAAAAAUGAAUUCUGCAGAGCCAACAGAAAUUGCAGAUAGCAAUAAAGAAAAUGUGAUUACAAUUAGGACGACAAAAAAAAGAAAAAACAACCUCUCAUGCCACAGCAGCCAUUUUCGACCAGGCAACAGAAAGAAAAAACAAAAUAAAGAGGAGUAUGAAAUAAAAUUUUUACAAGAAGAGCAUGACCCUACAAUAACACUUUUGAAAGAAAAACAUAACCUGGAGAUGCAGUUAAUUCAAGAAGAGCAUAACAAGAAAAUAGAACUUUUGGAUGAAACAUUGAAACUGAAAAAAAAAUUGAAUUAGCAACAGAUAAUCCAUGAAGUUUAUCACUUCAUUUGUAAAGAUAAAUAUUUUCUAAAACAUUUAAUAAUAAAUUUAUAAAAUAUCUUUCAU